Molecule: small nuclear RNA, 195 nt
Organism: Cornus florida
Lineage: Eukaryota; Viridiplantae; Streptophyta; Magnoliopsida; Cornales; Cornaceae
Product: U2 spliceosomal RNA
Exons: 1
Source: RefSeq, a predicted model, not a curated record
AUAUCUUUCUCGGCCUUUUGACAAAAAUCAAGUGUAGUAUUUAUUCUUAUCAUUUUAAUAUUUGAUACGUAAGCUAAUGACUUGCACGGCAUUAAAUUAAUUUUUUAGGGGCAAAGGUUGCCACAGUAGCUUGCUAUUGGGCUUCUCGCGGGUCGCCCUGGCAUUGCACUAUAGCCUAGGCUAGGCCCACCCCAU